CUACGGGAUGCUGCAGUGAGGAAUAUUGCACAAUGGGGGAAACCCUGAUGCAGCAACGCCGCGUGGAGGAUGACGCAUUUCGGUGUGUAAACUCCUUUUAUCAGAGAAGAAAAUGACGGUAUCUGAUGAAUAAGCUCCGGCUAACUCCGUGCCAGCAGCCGCGGUAAUACGGAGGGAGCAAGCGUUAUUCGGAAUCACUGGGCGUAAAGGACGCGUAGGCGGGUUUUUAAGUCAGGUGUGAAAUCCUAUGGCUCAACCAUAGAACUGCACUUGAAACUGGGGACCUAGAGUAUGGAAGGGGCAGGUGGAAUUAGUGGUGUAGGGGUAAAAUCCGUAGAUAUCACUAGGAAUACCGAAAGCGGAGGCGACCUGCUGGGACAUUACUGACGCUGAGGCGUGAAAGCGUGGGGAGCAAACAGGAUUAGAUACCCGUGUAGUC
RNAcentral lists this ribosomal RNA (439 nucleotides) under uncultured bacterium. RNAcentral describes it as "partial 16S ribosomal RNA". It matches the Rfam family "Bacterial small subunit ribosomal RNA", at positions 339 to 795 of the family's 1533-position model. The record is from RNAcentral.